This is a long non-coding RNA of Acinonyx jubatus (cheetah), 3528 nucleotides long. RefSeq lists it as uncharacterized. NCBI's taxonomy places the organism in Eukaryota, Metazoa, Chordata, Mammalia, Carnivora, Felidae. The record is from RefSeq and is a predicted model, not a curated record. The transcript is spliced from 2 exons.
CUCCCCCCUCCCCGGGCGCAGGGCACAGAGUGAGGAACCGUCCCCCGGGGGGGGAGGAGGCAGGGAGCGGGUCUGCUGGCUCUCCGCGUCCCAGAGACCAGACACCCUCGGGCCUUGGAGCCCGGAUGAGAAACGUGUCUGGAGUGUUCCGGGAGCCCCGACUCCCACGGGCCUUCCGCUUCAGACGGGGCGGGUUCAUCCUUCCUUGGGCAGCUAUUUCCCCUCUCACUCCCGCUGCCUUGGCGCUGGUGAGGCGGGGAACAGCCACCAGACUGGCUCACCGGCGGUGGCUGACCCAAGAGCCAUGAGCAGAUGAGGAAACUGCCGGAGACACUCAGUAGUCACCCAUCUAAAGGAUAUCGCAUUGCACUGAAGACUAAAUAGUUUAUAAAGUUUAGAAAGUCCCCUCCCAGUUCCAAAAGCAAAGGGACAAUAGGCCUUCAUGGUGAAGUAAGAGCUCUGGGUGUGUUCAUUAGCAAACGAAGGCUGUGCUGUGCGACUUUGGGCAAAUCCCUUACCUUCUCUGAACCUCAGGCUCUUCAUCUGUAAAAAGGGGACAAUAGCGGUACUGCUCGAUAGGGCUGCUGUGAGGUGAUCACUUGUUAAUUUACGUGAGGCACUUCUCAAGGCGCUCAGUAUGCUCUGAGCAGUCUGUUGAUAAAUCUCAACUGGUAGAAAUCACAGCCCAAAACCAGGACUGCUCCAGCAUGCUUACGCUUCCUGGCAGAAAAUGCCCCAGCAAAAUGGCUGCUCCAAAAAGAAGACAUGUCACGGGCCUAACACGUCAGACUCAAUUUGCAAAGCCCAGGACGGGAAUGGACAAAGACCUACAGUUACCAGGCCCGGGUUGGAGUCUGACACACCGCUCCCGCCACAGGACCUCAGGCAGCCUGUUCAACCUCUGGAACUCAGCAUCCCCAUCUGUUAAAUGGGAACAAAUCGCCCACCUUACAGGGUUGCCGAGAGAGAGAAUGAGGUGCGUGCCAUAAAACAUCCAGGAAGAUUGAGGUGUGAUGUUUGGCUACAUCUUUCUCUUCUGCGCCUUCUAGGAGCCACCAAGUCAUUGACUGCGCUGGGGAUCAUUAGAGAAAUCCACCAAAAUCUGAUACGGGCAGUUGUGGGGCGUUGGUAAGGAGAUCCCACUCCUCUAUUUUUUGAGGAGAAGGAAGGGGGUGAUUUACUAAGCACUCACUUUCCCUGUCCCAGCCAGAGCUCUGCUGACAAGCCAGUUCCAUAAUCCUCGUCCCUACAAUGCCUUUCCUUGUCCAGAGUAAAGUUAGACGGGAACCCAAUCACUCUGCUGGACUGUUUUAAAAGGAAGCACGAAACUAUUCCCAUGGUCAGUCUGACAAGGAUCCUUAUAGGACCUGUUUUCACAGAAUCACAGAACUGUUCGGUUUUCACAAAACAGCAGCUGAAGGGACGGAAGAAAUCAAGGAGUAUCACUCCCCUUUAAAGACAAGCAAAUAAAGGGGCGCCCGGUGACUCAGUUGUUUGGGCUUCUGACUCUGGAUUUCGGCUCAGGUCAUGAUCCCAGGGUCGUGGGAUCGACACCAAGCGUGGAGCCUGCUUAAGAUUCUCUCUCUCCCUCUGCCCCUCUCCCUCGCUCAUGCUCUCUCUCUUUCUUUCAAAUUAAAAUAUAUAUAAAGAUGAGCAAAUAAGAACCACAGUGGCAGAUCUGCUUCUUCAAAGUCAUACAGCAGAAGGGGUUCAGAGUUAGAACGAUACCCCAGUCACAAGAUUUCUGCUUCCCCGCUCAUGGUUCCCUGAGCUGUCAGAAGACACCCAUGCAUCCAACAUCCAUUCAUCCACCUGUCCAUCUAUGUUGACACUGGACACCUUCCUUGUGGCAAGCACUGCUCUGGGUUCUGGAGAGCCAAGGCUGAACAAGACUGUCACAGUCCCUGACCCCAGGGCGCUUCCCAUUCCGUGAGCUAGAAGGACUGAGGUGGGGUCAUCUGUUUGCCAAGGGUCUACAGUGCCUGGCACACGGUAGGUACACAGUAAGUGUUUAUUGAUUUAUGUAUCUCUCACCUUGUGGGACGCUCCCACCUUUAUGACUGAUGUGCUGGGUUGUUGUGACGAGACUAGUGGGGUAAAGGCUCAGUAUUUGUAACUAUCUCAAACCACCUUCUCCACUCAUCAUUCUACCAGAAGACUUCAUGGGACAGUGUGCAGACACAACAACAACAACGUUGAGGAAGGAGUCCAAAGACCCAAGUUCGAGUCCCAGCUCCAAGCUGCUUACUCCUGAGUAACUACUGAAAGGCACUCAUGCCUCAGUGUUCUCGUCUACAAAAUGGAGCAAAUAAUAUUUGACUUGCCUAUUUCACUCAGCUGCUGGGAUUACAAAACGGGGGAGGGAACUGGGUGGGGGAGGGAAAGAGUAACACUUCUAGAAAGUUCCACUAUGAGUAAAAGGUUAUGGAGAUGUUACUUGAAUGAUUUGCUCAUUCAUUGAGAACACAAGGGGAAUUACAAAUGAUCAGCUUCCCAGCCAGUGUUUGCACACUCUUGUUCCAAACUUCUAUAAUGGGACUGGUUGAAAUCGCCCCUGAUUUGUCCCUACCUUUGAAGAGAUUACGUUCAUGUAUCUGCGGCAUCACAUGUCACCCCAGCCAAUCCUGACCCAUGUUUCUCUCCAUUCGAUGCAUGUAACAACAGUACUCAGAGGUGUUGUAACCUUAAUUGCUUGCAAAGUGUUUUGAAAUCCUUAGAUUAAAAAGCUCAGGGAAGUCCAAAGUAUUACCUCUCUCUCUGUAUGCCCAGGGAGCUAGGCCGAGCUUCGUCUGGAUUUGUGGGAGCAAGGAGACACGACAAUGCAGAUUCUGAGGCUCCAGGAACUUUGGGGUUUAAGGGUCCUAUUCCUGGGAUGGCCCCAGACCAACCCCCAGCUUCCUAAGUUUCUAAGCUACUCAGGCAUUUGGCCAUUUCCCCCCACCCCGCGCUGCCUCUGAUGUGUUUUUUCCAUUUCUUUCAAGUUCCUGGGUCACGAGGCCUGAGUUGCAUUUACUUUGGUGUCAUAGGUCUCCGUUCUUGGGUGAUCUCAGCCUGAGUCCUAGAAAAAGGCAAUUGUGUCAUCUGUAACUUCUGUAUGCCUUUCCAUUUAAACUUAGAACUCAUUUCUUCCAUUCUAAUUUUUACUGUUAAAAGAGGAGUCACAAUUCUGCCCCAUGGGAGUGACCCUCGGGAGGGGGGGGGCGGGGCAGGGGUAUCCCUUAGGAACUGAAAGGGACGGGGAGACGUUCCUGGGAUCCAGGCAGUCUUUUGUGAUCUGGAUCCGACCGCUGGUUCUGCCACUGUCUUCCUGUUGGGUUUGUGAAAAUUCAGAGCUGACCACUUUCGUGUGCAUUUUUCUGCAGAUUUGUUACACUUUACAACCUAAAGUUUUUUUCUUUUUUAAAUCACUCUCGAUGCUAAUUUAUUUCAUUUAAAAUCGAUUCUGAUGGAACAGUGAAGGUAUUAACCUAAUAAAAAUCCUUUCUCUCUUUGCCUUUGUGUUUCAAAAUAAUGCCUUUAGUUUUUCCA